UGGGGAAUAUUGCACAAUGGGCGCAAGCCUGAUGCAGCGACGCCGCGUGAGGGAUGGAGGCCUUCGGGUUGUAAACCUCUUUCGCCAGUGAAGCAGGCCAUCUUCCUUGUGGGGUGGAUGACGGUAGCUGGAUAAGAAGCGCCGGCUAACUACGUGCCAGCAGCCGCGGUAAUACGUAGGGCGCGCGCGUUGUCCGGAAUUAUUGGGCGUAAAGAGCUCGUAGGCGGCUGGUCGCGUCUGUCAUGAAAUCCCCUGGCAUAACUGGGGGCUUGCGGUGGGUACGGCUCAGCUUGAGUGCGGUAGGGGAGACUGGAAUUCCUGGUGUGGCGGUGGAAUGCGCAGAAAUCAAGAGGAACACCGGUGGCGAGGACGGGUCUCUGAACAGAAACUGACACAGAGAAGCGACAGCGUGGGGAGCGAACAGG
RNAcentral lists this ribosomal RNA (425 nucleotides) under bacterium. RNAcentral describes it as "partial 16S ribosomal RNA". It matches the Rfam family "Bacterial small subunit ribosomal RNA", at positions 355 to 776 of the family's 1533-position model. The record is from RNAcentral.